This 253-nucleotide ribosomal RNA is filed under the name uncultured bacterium. RNAcentral describes it as "partial 16S ribosomal RNA". It matches the Rfam family "Bacterial small subunit ribosomal RNA", at positions 524 to 776 of the family's 1533-position model. The record is from RNAcentral.
UACAGAGGGUGCAAGCGUUAAUCGGAAUUACUGGGCGUAAAGCGUGCGUAGUCGGUUAUUUAAGUCGGAUGUGAAAUCCCCGGGCUCAACCUGGGAAUUGCAUUCGAUACUGGAUGGCUAGAGUUCGGCAGAGGGAAGUGGAAUUUCUGGUGUAGCGGUGAAAUGCGUAGAUAUCAGAAGGAACAUCAGUGGCGAAAGCGACUUCCUGGACCAGAACUGACGAUCAGGCACGAAAGCGUGGGGAGCAAACAGG